This 467-nucleotide ribosomal RNA is filed under the name uncultured bacterium. RNAcentral's name for it is "bacterial SSU rRNA". It matches the Rfam family "Bacterial small subunit ribosomal RNA", at positions 355 to 825 of the family's 1533-position model. The record is from RNAcentral.
UAAGGAAUAUUGGUCAAUGGAGGCAACUCUGAACCAGCCAUGCCGCGUGCAGGAAGAAGGCCCUAUGGGUCGUAAACUGCUUUUGAACAAGAGAAAACCCCGGUACGUGUACUGGGUUGAUAGUAUUGUUAGAAUAAGCAUCGGCUAACUUCGUGCCAGCAGCCGCGGUAAGACGAAGGAUGCAAGCGUUAUCCGGAUUCAUUGGGUUUAAAGGGUGCGUAGGCGGACUGAUAAGUCAGUGGUGAAAUCUCUCGGCUUAACCGAGAAACUGCCAUUGAUACUGUUAGUCUAGAGUACAGAUGAUGUGGGCGGAAUAUGACAUGUAGUGGUGAAAUACUUAGAUAUGUCAUAGAACACCGAUUGCGAAGGCAGCUCACAAAACUGUAACUGACGCUGAGGCACGAAAGUGCGGGGAUCAAACAGGAUUAGAUACCCCAGUAGUCCCUGAGCGGGCUGGCAAGGCGCAU